GAUGAACGCUGGCGGCGUGCCUAACACAUGCAAGUCGAGCGAAGCACUUUGCUUAGAUUCUUCGGAUGAAGAGGAUUGUGACUGAGCGGCGGACGGGUGAGUAACGCGUGGGUAACCUGCCUCGUACAGGGGGAUAACAGUUAGAAAUGACUGCUAAUACCGCAUAAGACCACAGCACCGCAUGGUGCAGGGGUAAAAACUCCGGUGGUAUGAGAUGGACCCGCGUCUGAUUAGCUAGUUGGUAAGGUAACGGCUUACCAAGGCGACGAUCAGUAGCCGACCUGAGAGGGUGACCGGCCACAUUGGGACUGAGACACGGCCCAAAUCCUACGGGAGCAGCAGUGGGGAAUAUUGCACAAUGGGGGAAACCCUGAUGCAGCGACGCCGCGUGAGCGAAGAGUAUUCGGAUGUAAAGCUCUAUCAGCAGGGAAGAAAAUGACGGUACCUGACUAAGAAGCACCGGCUAAAUACGUGCCAGCAGCCG
RNAcentral lists this ribosomal RNA (484 nucleotides) under uncultured bacterium. Its description in RNAcentral is "bacterial SSU rRNA". It matches the Rfam family "Bacterial small subunit ribosomal RNA", at positions 28 to 517 of the family's 1533-position model. The record is from RNAcentral.